UUAAUUAAAUGUGAAUGGUUUUUACCCAUCAAAGGGUUUGUCUCAUUUAUCUGUUAAUCGUAUACAUUAGCUUCCCUCUGUAAGAUUAAUUAAUUCUUCUAUUAGUUCUGCAAUUAACUGGUAUUUUUUGUAUUUUAAUGGUCACACACAUUCAUUAUAACCGUUUGACAUGGGUACCUGUCGAUUCCAUUCAUUAAAUCAACUCAUUAAUCAAUGAUCAAUGUUAUCAAAUUAUAUUGCAACAUAAACACAAACGAAAGAAGAGCUUGACAUCAACUUUAAGAUACAAUUAACCUUUCAUCAUUGAAAACAAUGGACUCUGUUAACAAGGAAAAGCGUCUCAUUUUUUCCAACAAUAUUCCGCUGAUCAUGAGUUGAGAUGUAUGAUUAAGCUAUUGUCAUAGUGAUUUGAACCGUCUUUGAUUUAACCAAAUCAAUCAUGCAACCAAUAAGUGGUGUUGAUCAAUUGUUUAGCACCACAGACCAAUGGUUACCCAUUGUGUGAUUUGUCUCAUCAUUUAACUUGCCUAAAAUUGAUGUCUAUUAUUUCAGGCAUGUCUCUGAUUUUAUGUAAAGGGGCCAAUCAAUUGUAUCAAAUUAAUGAUUACCCCUUUCAUUUAAUCAUUCAUCUCAUGACUUUCACUCAAAAUUAGGGAUGAAAAAUAAGCCAACAAGGGGCAUAAAAGGGAAUCUACCAUUUUUAAUUUUUCUUUGACAUUCUUGCUCAUAUUAAUGCUUUUCCCUUUUCUCAACAGUUUCUUUUGUUCUUUUAGUUUAUGGUUUGGCGCUUUUUAAUAUAAAUAUAAUCAUGGUGAGCCUUUUUGGUGUGUUACAACUCUAACCAAAUGUUCAUGUUGUUUUCAUGUUAACCAGCCAUCCCACAAACAGUUUACAUUGUCUUGUAUUCACCUCUAUGGAAAAAAGGAAAUUAUUAUUUUCAUUUGAUCAUUAUUCAUGAUUGUUUGCCUGAAUAACUAGCAUCAUUAUGGAGAUAAAGAUGAAUCUGGGAAGUACCGUGUUUUAAAUGCCUUUGUGUCGAAUGGAGUUUCAUGAAUUAGAACCAGAACUGGAGGAAAGCAACACAAACAGAAAAGACACUGAAAGCAAAGUGCAAAAAAUUUAAUUAGCUACCAUUCUAGUUGGAAUGUGUAUUAUUUGCUGGAAACCUUGAAAAAUAUCUAUUGAUUGCAAUCCAAUAUCCUGAUGGAAUACAAAAGUAUGAUGGUUAAUCAUGAUAUGCAAAGAUCUCAAUGAAUCUCGUCAAAAUUGCGGAAGCUUUAAUCAUCAACUAAACCAUCUGUACAGCUUAUUUCCAAUUCAUUGUAAUCACCAUUAUCAUCAUCAAAUGAAUUUGAGAUCAAAAUUUAGACCAAAACACGUAAAAUAUCGGGAAAAGGAGAGUUAAACUGAUACCAGGAUGUUCAGUGAAAACAGCACAAUCAACAUUAGAGAGAAAUUGAAAAGAUAAUCAACAUUUCGCUGAUGAAAAGCCUACUUUUACUCAGUGAGAUGAGGAUGAUGAUAGCGAUGAGCGAUGAUAGUUAUGAUGAUCAACAACAUUAUUAGGAUAAAGAUUACCAUUAUCAGCAUUGAUUGGCAACAAUAGCUAGUCAAAACAGUAGUGAAAAAAGCAGUAGUUUGAAAGUCAAUUAACUAAUUCUUUUGUUACAACAAGUAUCCUGAAUUGAUUUAGUGAUUCCCUGUAAUCCGUCAGCGAUAACCCAUUAAUGAACGAUAAACCAUGAAAACUCGAAAAAAUUCGUCUAUUGAUAAUUUCGAUUGUAUUAUUUUCAUUGCCUUAAACUAUACUAGGUGUCCCAAAAGUCACGCAAGAAAUGAAAACUACCUGUUUGUAAAUCAUGAGCCAAAGCAGAUUUUACACUUAAUUGUAACCAAACUCAAUUGUGCUUUCAUCUCAGUCCAAUGUACUGUGACUCGUUAAACGUUAAAACGAUCCCUUCAUUGUCAAUAUUAACAUAAACCGUUAAACAUAAUCGAACAAAAAUAAAAGUAAAUUGAACAAUUGGACUUAAAA
This is a non-coding RNA of Tetranychus urticae (two-spotted spider mite), 2035 nucleotides long. The record is from RefSeq and is a predicted model, not a curated record. NCBI's taxonomy places the organism in Eukaryota, Metazoa, Arthropoda, Arachnida, Trombidiformes, Tetranychidae.